GCUAAAUGUGGGCAAGGCGCGGGGGGAAUCGGAAGGGGGCAGGGGUUAAUCGGAAGUACUGGGCGUAAAGCGUGCGUAGGGGGUUCUGUGAGUCUGCUGGGAAAUCCCCGGGCUCAACCUGGGAAUGGCAGUGGAGACUGGAGAGCUAGAGUGUGAUAGAGGAUGGUGGAAUUCCCGGUGUAGCGGUGAAAUGCGUAGAGAUCGGGAGGAACAUCAGUGGCGAAGGCGGCCAUCUGGAUCAACACUGACGCUGAGGCACGAAAGCGUGGGGAGCAAACAGGAUUAGAUACCCUUGUAGUC
This 300-nucleotide ribosomal RNA is filed under the name uncultured Desulfurococcus sp. RNAcentral describes it as "bacterial SSU rRNA". The stretch from base 52 to 300 matches the Rfam family "Bacterial small subunit ribosomal RNA", at positions 547 to 795 of the family's 1533-position model. Lineage: Archaea; Thermoproteati; Thermoproteota; Thermoprotei; Desulfurococcales; Desulfurococcaceae. The record is from RNAcentral.